UUCAAGUCUUCCCAGGCCCACCAUUUUGAUCGAGUGCGGAGCAUUCGUCUUCUGGUACGGGGCCAUAGCUCAGCUGGGAGAGCGCGUGCUUUGCAAGCAUGAGGUCGUCGGUUCGAUCCCGUCUGGCUCCACCAGAUGGAAUUGAAGCUCGAGAAUGCGUCUUUGCAGGAAGCUCUGUUCAUAUCGUCCGCGAAACAUCACUUCGCACUCAUUGGUCCGGAUGGACGGUGACGUGCGUGUUUUCUGACAUCGUAAAGAGGAGAUCGAUCCGAGUUUGGAUCAAGCGAAGCAAUUCGCCUGAGCCAUUCAUUAUCUCCGGGAUCAUUUCGGCGCUCGCUUUCAAUCGCAAGAUUGGAUGCGGGUUGUAAAUGAUCCCUUUUAGCGAAGCUUGACCGCCUCGCUAUCGGGCCGAUCUUACGAAGCAAGCUGGUCUUUCUAGUCAAUGUCCGGCUGCGCAAUCGCAUUCAUCGAGGAUGCGUGCCUUCAAUGGCAGUUGUGCAGACAACAUUCUACCGAGUGUGUGGACAUUGAUAAUGAGAGC
RNAcentral lists this transfer RNA (541 nucleotides) under Bradyrhizobium sp. Scia2. Its description in RNAcentral is "partial 16S-23S ribosomal RNA intergenic spacer". The stretch from base 59 to 131 matches the Rfam family "tRNA". The record is from RNAcentral. Lineage: Bacteria; Pseudomonadati; Pseudomonadota; Alphaproteobacteria; Hyphomicrobiales; Nitrobacteraceae.